Molecule: long non-coding RNA, 4149 nt
Organism: Mytilus californianus (California mussel)
Lineage: Eukaryota; Metazoa; Mollusca; Bivalvia; Mytilida; Mytilidae
Exons: 3
Source: RefSeq, a predicted model, not a curated record
UUAAAACUAUCAUUUAAUAACUUUUCAAAAAAUAGAAUGUUGUGCUACAUACCAUGUAUAUAUUCCUUAUUAUGCAGUUACUACUCAUCAAUAGGCGAUCAGCAAACGAACAUCACAUUAUCAGUAUGCUAGUAUUUACAUAAUGUACAUUUCAAUUUUUUGUUCUACUAUGAUUGCUAUAUAAUUAACUACUGUACACCAUAGAUACAAAACACCUACAAACAAAAUUGAUGCUAUCGUGAUUUUUAUAAACUCUAAAAGAGAAGAUAAUGAGUUUACAACUAUUUUUGGGAUAUAGGUAUUCGUGUUCACCACUUGGUUUGUCAUUUUUAAUAUCUAUACUUCGUUUGAAUAGAUACAACAUUCAAGAAAACACAUUUUCUAGUUAAGAAAACGAAAACACUUCGAAAACAAUAUGCUGAACAUAUUCAGUAAAAUUUAUAAACUGUUUUUUUAGAUGAGUAUUUGCUGUAUAGUGAUUGUCUUAAAUUAUUCCUCAGAUUUUAAACUUGUAUUUUUAUUUAUAUUUUUUAGAGCACCGUAAGUGUUAUGGACCAUAAAGAUAAGUAUAUUGUGAUAAGUUUACAAAAAAUGAAAAAAUGAAACGACAAUAGAUAGUGAAUGUUGUAUAUAGUGUUAUUUUUUUUAAAUUGGACAAUAUAAAAACAGUUCUUAUCAAUAAAGACGCAAUUAUAUAGAAGAAACAAAACCCAUUCGUAUAUUAGAAGCAAUGCGAUAUUUUGAUCAGUGUGAUUUAAAUGAAAUAUUAAGUAGUCUGAAUUCAAACGUGAACAAAUAGAAAAUACAAUUCGUAUUGUUGUUUAUAAAUAUCUUUAACAACACCAUGUUGUACAUGUAUCUGUAAACGGACAAUAUUUGAAAGUUUUAUAACCUUUGAUAUCCACAGUUAACUAAUUAUUACUCACGUAUGGAAUUUUUAUAUGCUUUAAUUGAUAAAGGAACAAACAUGUUUUUCAGUUGCGUUUGUUAUUUGUUAUGACAGUAAGACCAAACAGGCAAUAGAAGACUGAAGUUCAACCAGUGCUUCAGAAAACAUUAUAUGUUUGUGAUUUUAAAAUAUUACAAACACAAAAUUUUAAUUUUUGUCAUGAUUAUUGACUAUAACAUUUAACAAAAAGCUGUCAGUUCUACUAUCACUUUACUACUUAUACAACGGCGGCUUCUAUAACUCAUUGCUAGAUGGUAUGAUGUAUUGUAUGAUCAUUUACUUGAUUUUAUAUUUUUUGCAGUCGGUAAGUGAAUAGUUUCAAACAGAUAAGUAUAGUUUACAAUUAUCUCGCAAUUUAUAACAUGACGAUAGUCUUUAAACUUGAAUAAUGUUCUUAAUUAUGCCGGUUGCAAUAAGCGGAAUGAUCUAAUUGCGUAACGAUAUUCCAAGUUAUCCAAAUGUCGUAUAUGUUUAGUAUGUCCGUAUUUCUGAAAAAAGGUGACAAUAUGUCUAAAUUGUAACAAUAUUUUUUUAUCUUGUGACUUCUUUCUCAUUAUUCCUUUCAUGUUAUAUAUCUAUAUGUCCAAUCAAUGUAUCAAUUCCCUAUAUUUACAUACUAUGCUGUUAACCAGAGUUCCUGGUUAUUUGAUUAAUCGUCGCCAUUCAAAGUUGUUUCCGAUUAAUAAUAAAUGUAUGACGUCAUAUGUUUUUAAAACAUAGUUCUAGAAUUACAAAAACAAACAUGUGUUGUCCUUUGUGUUAUUUAAUAUAUAUAUAUCAUACCAUUACUAUUUCAAAUAUAUGUAUUAUUUAACUUUAUUCGGUAACUGUCAAGUACCAAAUCGAAAACUAAAACUAAAAACUUUGAGCAUUUGUUGUCAUAGGAAUCAUAUGACAAAUGGCAGUCUUCUUAUAAAAGUGGAUACAUGUGAUAGUUGCAAUGUUUGAAAAUUGUUAUCAAGAUGCAUAAAUAACACUGUUACUUUGCUUAUGCAAAAAUCAAAUAAACUUGAAUAUUUUAAUUUGAUAAAUUAUGUGUUCAGUCAUUAAUCUAUUAGCCAAUAGGAUAAACAUUACAACAUGUGGUAGAAUUGACAAUGAGACAGCUACCCAACAUAGAGUAAAUUAUGUUGAUGGUAGUUACAAUAAGUCACAUUACGGGCAAUAUAGAGUAAAUUAUGUUGAUGGUAGUUGCAAUAAGUCACAUUACGGGCAAUAUAGAGUAAAUUAUGUUGAUGGUAGUUGCAAUAAGUCACAUUACGGGCAACAUAGAGUAAAUUAUGUUGUUGGUAGUUACAAUAAGUCACAUUACGGGCUUUUCCACAAAUACCGUAUAUUAAAGAUUCCAAAAUGACAAUAUGUGAACCAUUUCAAACUAUAGAACUUAAAACUGUUAGGUCCGAUAGGUUAAUACAUUUUGACAAAAGUUCGACAAUAAUAUAAUAUGUUCUCAUUGUAGCUGUUCCUGUGGAGAAUCGGGAGGUCGUGGUUCGAAUCUCGACCAGGUCUAACAAAGUCGUAAAAAUGGUACAUGUAAUUGCUGUUUCAACGCUAAACUAACGGUAUUUAAAAAUGGAUGAAUCUCAUAAGAUAACAGUGACAGCCAGUAAUAAACAUUAGCGAAACACAGAAAUGAUGGAAAACACUACCUUCCGAUGCAUAAACAAUAUUAAACAAUCUGAAUGUAAUGUGUACUUGUUUUAUUUGGAUGCACGUUUUAUGUUUAAAAUAAAUAUGAUUCUGAUACAUCAAAAUAGAAACUUUACAAUUGUUUCCCUAAAAUCUGUUUUAACCACAUAAGAAUUAUGUCGUACGUGUUGCAUCACACGAAUCAUUUAUACUUUUAUAUUUUCUUAUGUCAGAUAAUUAUUAAAUGCUCUCCCGUAACUGAAUAUUAUAUCAAAUUCAAAAUAAUUAGCUAUACUUCUUACCAAUCAAGUGUUAUAUAACUACAAUCAAUAUCCUAGUGUCCGUUACUUAUUCAAAUUGAUUUCACUUUUCUAUUUAUCCUACAAAAAAUGUUAUUAUAAAACUUAACGUAUUGAAAAGCAUUAUACACUGUCGGAAUAGUCCUAGGUAAUUGAUUCGAAACAAAUCAACACUGUAGACUUUUCUAGUACUUCAAGUUAUUAUUCAAAUUGUACACAAUAUGUCUAUAACCCUACAAUGUAUUUCUUUAUGUGGAUUCAAUUAUCAUACAUAUAUUUGAUUUAUACGUUCUUUCUGCAUUUAAACUAGUAAACAUGUAGAUUGAAAUUGUAUUAUAUUUAACGCGCGAGACUACUAUACAUAAUUUUGUAAUAUGUAUAUGAAUGUUAUUUCUUUUGUUUUAUAAAAUGUUAUGAUUAUAUUUAAAUGUGUAGUCUUUCGAAAUCAUGAAGUAAAGUUGCAACUGGUUUGACUAGAAUGUGUUUUACCUGUUUCGCCCACAUCGUCAUGUCUUUGAUAGAAACAUUUCGUCAACGUUUUCACGGCUUCGUUGAAAGGGAAUUAUUUCAUAUUUGGUGCGCAACUUGAUAAUGUUGAGUUGUGGCGACUUUCUGUUUGCCAAUAGUUCAAAAUAACUCUGAUUGUACAAGGAGAAUGUUCAUAAAAGUUUACUUGGCCUGAUUGAAAGGAAUGAUUAGUUAUGUUUCAGUAUACAUGUUGUUAUGAUAUUGUUAUUAUCAUGUUUAUUUAUCUUGGCCUAAUUUGUUUUGUGUGGCCUUAUAAUAUUUAUAAUAUGCUUACAUCAUAUUUAUAGUUGUUUACAAAAUAAUGUUAUAAUUGUGCAGUUUAGAAAUCACUUGAACAAUCAUAGAUACUGAUGGAAUGAUUAGAACUUUCUAUUUGACUGACAUAUUAAUUCUGAAAUGAUCAUAAUAUACGAUGUGUAAUUUAAACUUCCACUAUAUUCUAGGAGUUUUGCUUCUACAGUGUUCUAGAGGUUUCCGUGACAACUACAUAUACAGACACCGAAAUUAUACUUUUUUAGACAUUAAUUUACUUGGAUUCACAGGAGUUCUCUGAAGUUGUUGUAUUGAUACUUUAUUUACGUUAACUACAUCAUACUAGAAUGGACAUAUUCCGUACAGUUAAGAGAAUAAUUCCGGAUAAAGAAAAGACAAAAGACCGGACAUAUAACUUAACAGUUAAGUUAACAUUUCAAUUUGUAUAAUAUUUCUUGUAAACUUGUGUAUAAUAAAUCCUGAUAAAUAUUA